Cavia porcellus (domestic guinea pig) is the source of this 905-nucleotide long non-coding RNA. RefSeq lists it as uncharacterized. The record is from RefSeq and is a predicted model, not a curated record. The transcript has 2 exons. Lineage: Eukaryota; Metazoa; Chordata; Mammalia; Rodentia; Caviidae.
GCCGGCGCCGAGGGCCGGGGGCGGGGGCGCUGCCCUCCCCUCCCCACUCGCCCCGCCCCCCGGCCCGCCCCCGGGAAGCCCAGCAACAAGCGGCCGCGCCCCCGCCCCGGGGCGGGCAGGUUUCGACUUGAAUCUGAAAAUGCCUCUAAUGCCCAUUUUUCACUAAAGGACACUCGGAGGGGGCAGGGUCUUCACAUAAACUGCUGCGUGCGCCCCUAGCUGGACAGACUGCAUAAAAAGCGUGCCCACAUUUACUUCACACAUCUGUGCAAAUGCAGGAGCCUGUGGAUGCGAAAGGCUGACUGGUCGUACUUAAGCGUGUAGACACACGAACGCAUGCACACGCACGCGCGCGCGUUCACACACACACCCCAAAUUACCUCCGGGAUAGCGAAAGCCGCUGCGGAUUGGCCAGCAGAGCCGUCACUCACACCCAGGGGGCAGGAAGACUUUGGAAAGCAGUUUCUUUUUUCUCUAUCCUCCUAUGCCUUUUCAUAUAGUGGUAAAACAACGGCAGAGCUCUGAAAGUUAGCCAUCUACGCCGAAAGAGUUUGCUUCUUAAGGGAGGGAGCGUCAGACAAGGCCCCUUUAAAUAUAUAUUGUACUUCCACAAUGGACGAAAAAGAAAAUUAGUUGGGUGAGGGAGCUACGAGUAGGGAGGAGGGGGAUCAUCGGGGAGGGGUGGACACCGGGUAGAGUUGUUCUUAACACUCAAAAGAGACUUUGACCUCAAGUGAUUUCGAAAUCAGAAAGUGUUUAUCACAGGUCAGAUCAUAACAAACGCUCGUCCCUAAUUUUUGAACUCAUUAUUUUCAUUUUAUUAUUUAAGCAUGCCCUAACAAUCAUGCUUCUUUAAGAAAGAACUGACCUAUUUUUGGCUGGAGAUAAACGACCAUGUUAACAGA